RNAcentral lists this ribosomal RNA (498 nucleotides) under uncultured bacterium. RNAcentral describes it as "partial 16S ribosomal RNA". It matches the Rfam family "Bacterial small subunit ribosomal RNA", at positions 30 to 523 of the family's 1533-position model. The record is from RNAcentral.
AUUGAACGCUGGCGGCAUGCCUUACACAUGCAAGUCGAACGGUAACAGGUCUUCGGAUGCUGACGAGUGGCGAACGGGUGAGUAAUACAUCGGAACGUGCCUAGUAGUGGGGGAUAACUACUCGAAAGAGUGGCUAAUACCGCAUGAGAUCUACGGAUGAAAGCAGGGGAUCGCAAGACCUUGUGCUACUAGAGCGGCCGGUGGCAGAUUAGGUAGUUGGUGGGAUAAAAGCUUACCAAGCCGACGAUCUGUAGCUGGUCUGAGAGGGCGAUCAGCCCCACUGGGGCUGAGAAACGGCCCAGACUCCUACGGGAGGCAGCAGUGGGGAAUUUUGGACAAUGGGCGCAAGCCUGAUCCAGCAAUGCCGCGUGCAGGAUGAAGGCCUUCGGGUUGUAAACUGCUUUUGUACGGAACGAAAAGCCCCGGGUUAAUACCCUGGGGUCAUGACGGUACCGUAAGAAUAAGCACCGGCUAACUACGUGCCAGCCGCCGCGGUAA